RNA transcript from Daktulosphaira vitifoliae (grape phylloxera), 888 nucleotides. RefSeq lists it as uncharacterized. The transcript is spliced from 3 exons. NCBI's taxonomy places the organism in Eukaryota, Metazoa, Arthropoda, Insecta, Hemiptera, Phylloxeridae. The record is from RefSeq and is a predicted model, not a curated record.
UCGUGGCCAGUGAGCUGGCGUGUUUUUAAUUUGUUACAUUGUUUUUUGGUUGGUAUUGGCCUGUUUAGGUGACAACCAACACUUUAUAUUACCAGUAACGUGCUAUUACUCGAGUGCUCAACGGAAAUAGAGCAGCGGAGGUUGACAUUCCAUACGCAAAAGGAACAAUUACUUUGGGAAGCGUUUUGGCAGUCGAUUUAACGUUAAUUGCACUAUGGAUAGCUGAUGGCUGGAUACUGAAUGUUAAUUCAGUAGAUGUAGAUCCCAUAGAAAACUUGAAGACAUGUUUACGUAAUAAAAAGUUGAUUGAAUAUAUAUUUAAUAUCACCAGUAACGAUUUCAAAGAGGAAUUUUAUAACAUUGUUGGAGAAUAUCAAUCAAAAACAAAUCAUCUAGUCAAUACAUUGGUAAUUUAUGACCUUCAGAAAGAAUUAACUGAAAUAAUUUGCGUCCAACAGUUUUUACAAUCUGAAAAAGAAUUAAAAAAUUGCAGUAAUGGUAUUUAUGAAUGCUGUGAUACUUUUAUAAAAGAAACAAAAAAUUUUCGUUUACGGCAAUUUAGUGAAAAAAUAUCAACUAUAUCAACUAAUAUCAUUAGUGGUAUAAAAACUUAUAUUACACAGGAUGAAUCCGCCGGAAAAACCGAUUGAAAAGUUAUUAUUAAAAAUAUUGUCAAAAAAGAGUCACGUGUAUAACAGUUAUGAAUCAUAUAUUAUAAUAUUAAAUAAACAUGUCAAAUUUGAAAAAAGAAAGUUUUUAUUUACAAUUAUUUAUUAACCUCUUGUCUAAUAUUAAUGAAAUUUACUUUUAUUAUUAAAUAGUAUGGAAUAAGUAUUAACAGAAUGUAGUAAUAUAACUAUAUAAAUAAAUAAAUUUUAACUACAGCAA